Molecule: non-coding RNA, 95 nt
Organism: Erinaceus europaeus (western European hedgehog)
Lineage: Eukaryota; Metazoa; Chordata; Mammalia; Eulipotyphla; Erinaceidae
Source: Rfam
AUAGAAAGAAAGAACUGGAGGUAAAGAAAUGUGGACUUGGAGAAAUCUGGGGCCAGUUUGUUCCCUGCAGACUCAAGAUCAACUUUCCCACAAAG